AAAUGUCAUUUUUCAUAUCAGACCCUUUAUCGGCCCUGGUACAUGAUAUCAUCCUUCGAGCCUGCGGCUCUUGGGCGAUAUCAUGACCUAGGGCCGAUAAAGGGUCUGAUAUGAAAAAUGCCAUGUAAUAAUC
RNAcentral lists this small RNA (133 nucleotides) under Mytilus galloprovincialis (Mediterranean mussel). The record is from RNAcentral. Lineage: Eukaryota; Metazoa; Mollusca; Bivalvia; Mytilida; Mytilidae.